Molecule: ribosomal RNA, 253 nt
Filed under: uncultured bacterium
Lineage: Bacteria
Description: partial 16S ribosomal RNA
Rfam family: Bacterial small subunit ribosomal RNA
Source: RNAcentral
UACGUAGGGGGCGAGCGUUGUCCGGAGUUACUGGGCGUAAAGCGCACGCAGGCGGUCUGCUAAGUUUGGAGUGACAGUUGGUGGCUUAACUGCCAAAGUGCUUCGAAAACUGACAGACUUGAGGGCUUCAGAGGGACACGGAAUUCCGGGUGGAGUGGUGAAAUGCGUAGAGAUCCGGAGGAACACCAAAGGCGAAGGCAGUGCCUGGGGGAGUACCUGACGCUCAGGUGCGAAAGCCAGGGGAGCGAACGGG